RNAcentral lists this ribosomal RNA (253 nucleotides) under uncultured prokaryote. Its description in RNAcentral is "partial 16S ribosomal RNA". It matches the Rfam family "Bacterial small subunit ribosomal RNA", at positions 524 to 776 of the family's 1533-position model. The record is from RNAcentral.
GACGGAGGGGGCUAGCGUUGUUCGGAAUUACUGGGCGUAAAGAGUGCGUAGGCGGCUAAUUAAGUUGGGAGUGAAAUCCCAGGGCUCAACCCUGGAAUUGCUUUCAAAACUGGUUAGCUAGAGGACGAUAGAGGAUGGUGGAAUUCCUAGUGUAGAGGUGAAAUUCUUAGAUAUUAGGAGGAACAUCGGAGGCGAAGGCGACCAUCUGGGUCGUAUCUGACGCUGAUGCACGAAAGCGUGGGGAGCAAACAGG